AUAAAGCCCACGGGCCUUGCUUCAUGCAAAUGGCCCUCUCCGCUUUAUUUCGCCGGGAACUGUUACCUUGACAAGUUAGCUUUUCCGGUUGGGAACGACCCAUCAAGGUCACAGUGUUGGGGAAACUGUCCCUUCUGGUUUUCUUCUCUAUCUGGAAAUUCCACCUUCUCUGCUGAGUGAGAUAGCUUCCUAAAACCUCAUGCCUGCUCUGCCUCUGUUUUCCCAUUCAAAUCCAUGAGAUGAGACCAAUUCAACUUCCUGAGCCGCCUAGCCCUACCUCCAGGGGUACGCCGGACAUCUUCGAAUCUGGAAUCCACAGCGUUGUCAGACGCGCUGUCGUCAUUGGAAACGGAUUUCCUAGUUCCGAGAAUCAGAGCAUCGGAUUAGUUCGCGCCCUUGGCCUCUCUGAUCAACAUGUCUUAUACCGGGUUACCAGGCCAAAGGGAGGGGUUAACGAUUGGCUUCGCUGGCUUCCUGUCUCUUUUCACAGAAAAAUAUAUUAUUUAAUAAGGCUGAUUCAUGGCUAUUCUCAACUACUCACGAAAUCACAGGAAAAGAAGUUAAUGCCCCUACCUUCAGAAAAUGGUGUUGGCUUAUCAGCUAUUUUAGAAGCAGAUGUGAAGCAUAUAGUAAAUUUGGCUCGUGAAACUUAUGAGAAGGAGGGCCCCUUACUGGUGGUUGCAUCUGGAAGAGAUACAAUUUCUGUUGCUAGCUCAAUCAAACGCUUGGCAUCUGACAAUGUUUUUGUUGUUCAGAUACAACAUCCAAGGUCACAUUUGGAUAGGUUUGACAUGGUGAUUACACCUAAACAUGAUUAUUAUCCUUUGACUCCACAAGCACAAAAACAGGUCCCUUGGUUUAUUCAAAAGUGGAUAACUCCACGUGAGCCUCCUGAUAGUCAUGUGGUUCUCACAAUGGGGGCCCUGCAUCAAAUAGAUUUUGCUGCUCUUCGUAAUGCGGCCAUUACAUGGCGGGAUGAUUUUGAACAUGUGCCUAGACCCUUGCUCGUGGUCAACAUUGGAGGACCAACAAGAAACUGUCGAUAUGGUGGGGAUCUCGCAAAGCAGUUAGCAAGGUCUUUGCUCAGUGUUCUUGUUUCCUGUGGGAGUGUGAGAAUAUCCUUCUCUGAGAGGACUCCGCAAAAGCUGUCAAAUAUCAUAGUGAAGGAAUUGGGAAAUAAUCCAAAAGUUUAUAUAUGGGAUGGCCAAGAACCAAACCCCCGUAUGGGGCAUCUAGCUUGGGCCGAUGCAUUUGUUAUCACUGCAGAUUCAGUUAGUCUGAUAAGCGAGGCUUGCAGCACUGGGUAUGCCCGUGAAAAAGCAUCUGAAGCCUGUCUAUGUUAUGGGAGCUGAGCGAUGCAGGUGGAAGUUCACAGAAUUUCACAAGUCAUUGAGAGAGAAAGGAGUCGCUCGGCCAUUCACAGGGUCUGAAGAUAUGAAAGAAAGUUGGAGCUAUCCGCCCCUUAACGAUACUGCUGAUGCUGCUAAAAGGGUUCGUGAAACGCUUGCUUCGCGAGGGUGGAAACUGAAGACGACGUAGAAAGUAUAAUUUUUUUUGCGCGGGUACAGUAGAGUUCAAUUUGAGUGUGAAAUAAUACGCGUUUUUUAGGGCCUCCUAUUAGGGGGCAUUAAUUUUUUUUUUUCUUUUUUGGAACAUGCAAAAGCAUGAAUUUUCUUUGAUAGCAUGAAUAGGAUAUACAGAUGGCGUGCCCUGAUUCUUCAACCCUAACAAUUUUUAAGCGGAUGUAUUAUAGAGCAUACGAUCUUGCAUUUAUGGAGGAGGAGCUUCUAUGUAUGGCAGUUUUGUAAAUGGGGUGAAUAAAAUUGUUUUUGAGGAAA
Molecule: RNA transcript, 1838 nt
Organism: Prosopis cineraria
Lineage: Eukaryota; Viridiplantae; Streptophyta; Magnoliopsida; Fabales; Fabaceae
Gene name: mitochondrial fission protein ELM1
Exons: 10
Source: RefSeq, a predicted model, not a curated record